CCAGCAGCUGCGGUAAUUCCAGCUCUAAUAGCAUAUAUUAAAGUUGUUGCAGUUAAAAAGCUCGUAGUCGGAUUUUGGGUUCGUGUGGGCUGUCGGCCUCUGGUCGGACGGCUUGCGCGUGCCUUUUUGCUUGGGAGCCCCAUGCGGGUUAACUCCCGUGUGGUGGGUCACAGGCCGUUUACUUUGAAAAAAUUAGAGUGUUCAAAGCAGGCUAUUGCUUGAAUAGAUUAGCAUGGAAUAAUGGAAUAGGACCUUGGUGCUAUUUCGUUGGUUAUGGGACUGGGGUAAUGAUUAAUAGGGACAGUUGGGGCCGUUCAUAUUUCGUUGUCAGAGGUGAAAUUCUUGGAUUUACGAACGAUGAACUUGUGCGAAAGCAUUCGGCAAGGAUGUUUUCAUUGAUCAAGAACGAAAGU
RNAcentral lists this ribosomal RNA (413 nucleotides) under uncultured eukaryote. RNAcentral describes it as "SSU rRNA". It matches the Rfam family "Eukaryotic small subunit ribosomal RNA", at positions 567 to 990 of the family's 1831-position model. The record is from RNAcentral.